GACAGAGGGGGCAAGCGUUGGCCGGCUUUACUGGGCGCAAAGGGCGCGGAGGCGGUCUGCGGCGUCGGCGCUGAAAGCGCCCCGCUUAACGGGGCGAGGCGUGCCGAUACGCGCAGACUUGAGGCGAGCAGAGGGUGGUGGAAUUCCGGGUGGAGCGGUGAAAUGCGUAGAGAUCCGGAGGAACGCCAGUGGGGAAGCCGGCCACCUGGGCUCGUCCUGACGCUGCGGCGCGACCGCGUGGGGAGCAAACCGG
This 253-nucleotide ribosomal RNA is filed under the name uncultured bacterium. RNAcentral describes it as "partial 16S ribosomal RNA". It matches the Rfam family "Bacterial small subunit ribosomal RNA", at positions 524 to 776 of the family's 1533-position model. The record is from RNAcentral.